This 48-nucleotide transfer RNA is filed under the name Mastigostyla sp. Huaylla 3721. RNAcentral's name for it is "partial tRNA-His". Lineage: Eukaryota; Viridiplantae; Streptophyta; Magnoliopsida; Asparagales; Iridaceae. The record is from RNAcentral.
GGCGGAUGUAGCCAAGUGGAUCAGGGCAGUGGAUUUGUGAAUCCACCA